UGGACCGGCUUGCCGCUGGCCUGUGAAUCAGGCAAGAGGAAAGUCCGGGCAACACAGGACAACCCGCUUCCUAACGAGAAGUGAUUCGUGAGGGUCAGGCAAUGCAGAAGAAAACAACCGCCUGCCACGUUGCAGGUAAGGGUGAGAAGGUGGGGCAAGAGCCCACCAGGCCGUUGGUGACAGCGGUGCUGUGCAUUCCCGGGUGUUGAAAGUUCAUGUAUACCGGUGCUGUCGGCCUUCGGGCUGGCGAGAGGGCUGUCCGUCCGAGCCGGAGGGUAGAACGAUAGAGGCUUCUGGUGACAGGGGUCGUAGAUAAAUGGCAGGCACCUCCCCCCCUCGGGAGGAGGCACAGAACCCGGCUUACAGGUCCACUGU
This 375-nucleotide RNase P RNA is filed under the name pig gut metagenome. RNAcentral's name for it is "Bacterial RNase P class A". It matches the Rfam family "Bacterial RNase P class A". Rfam says of the family: Ribonuclease P (RNase P) is a ubiquitous endoribonuclease, found in archaea, bacteria and eukarya as well as chloroplasts and mitochondria. Its best characterised activity is the generation of mature 5'-ends of tRNAs by cleaving the 5'-leader elements of precursor-tRNAs. Cellular RNase Ps are ribonucleoproteins. The record is from RNAcentral.